UCCGGUUUGUCACCGGCAGUCACUCUAGAGUGCCCAUCCGAAAUGCUGGCAACUAGAAUUAAGGGUUGCGCUCGUUGCGGGACUUAACCCAACAUCUCACGACACGAGCUGACGACAACCAUGCACCACCUGUCACCUUUGUCCCGAAGGAAAGGCUUAUCUCUAAGCCGGUCAAAGGGAUGUCAAGACCUGGUAAGGUUCUUCGCGUUGCUUCGAAUUAAACCACAUGCUCCACUGCUUGUGCGGGUCCCCGUCAAUUCCUUUGAGUUUCAGUCUUGCGACCGUACUCCCCAGGCGGAAUGCUUAAUGUGUUAACUUCGGCACUAAGGAGUUCGUGCUCCCUAACACCUAGCAUUCAUCGUUUACGGCGUGGACUAC
RNAcentral lists this unclassified non-coding RNA (378 nucleotides) under uncultured Paenibacillaceae bacterium. Its description in RNAcentral is "contains 16S-23S intergenic spacer region". Lineage: Bacteria; Bacillati; Bacillota; Bacilli; Caryophanales; Paenibacillaceae. The record is from RNAcentral.